AUGAGUCUGCCAAGGCAGCUGCUGCUGCUGAUGCCCGAUACGCGAAGCGAGCUGCUCUCAUUUAUAACCGAGGCUCAAACUAGUGGUACCGUGUUGCGUGUCGACGACAUGACACAAAGUAUUUCGCUCAUAUGGAACAGAAACAGAUCCGGGGCUCAAACUGUGUCAAGCGAGAGAUCGGAUUAUGAGGAUGAGAGGAGCUGCUUCCGUUCAAAGAUUGACCAGUUGCUCAAGGAAUACACGACCCAACAGUUUUUGGGAUCAAAGUAUAAACUCGAUACUAUCUUGGGUGUGGAGGAAAGAAACAAAGGCUACCGCCCCUGCGGUUAUAUUCGCUACCAUGUGAACUUCACGGCCACAUGUGAUUUGAGGCUUCAGAGGACGCUUUUCUACGCUGAAUUCUCGUUCUCCUCACGUGAGCAGGAGCCAGAAUUCCGCUGCCCUCUACCCUAUGCGAAUGCGGGCCGUUGCUAUUAUGGUGUGAUUAGUGCGAGGAAAAUCGUGUAUCCAGAUGACGCCAAGUACAUCCCGGAUGAUAUCACCGUCCGUGGAACCCGCAGCGCGGAUGGCAUGCUAGGGAUGGACCUGGUCUACUUCAGUCCCAAGUUGGACGUGGAGAUUGCUGAGAAUUUGAACGUGUUGCACAGUGAAGAAGAAGAAGAAAAGAGGAAGAAGAUGAGGAAGACGGGGAGGGGGAUGUGUCGUCUUAAUUAA
This 714-nucleotide ribosomal RNA is filed under the name Triticum aestivum (bread wheat). Its description in RNAcentral is "partial small subunit ribosomal RNA". The record is from RNAcentral. Lineage: Eukaryota; Viridiplantae; Streptophyta; Magnoliopsida; Poales; Poaceae.